CAUAGCGACUAUCGUGGCAUAUCAAUAAGCGGAGGAAAAGAAACUAACUAAGGAUUCCCCUCAGUAACGGCGAGUGAAGCGGGAAGAGCUCAAAUUUGAAAUCUUCAAGGUUCUGACCUUGACGAAUUGUAGUUUAAAGAAGUGUUUUCGGUUAGAGGAGUUUAGUAAAAGUUCUUUGGAAUAGGACAUCAUAGAGGGUGAGAAUCCCGUAUUUGACCAUUAUUUCCAACUUUGUGAUACACUUUCAAAGAGUCGGAUUGUUUGGGAAUGCAGUCCAAAAUGGGUGGUAAAUUUCAUCUAAAGCUAAAUACUGGCGAGAGACCGAUAGCGAACAAGUACCGUGAGGGAAAGAUGAAAAGAACUUUGAAAAGAGAGUUAAACAGUACGUGAAAUUGUCAAAAGGGAAGCGUUUGACACCAGUGUUGUUUUCUCGAAAAUCAAUUAAGAAUGGCGGGAUUUUGUGUUGUAUUGACUUUAUCAGCUUUCUGCACUUUUUUCCUGUCUUUUUUAAUGCACUUUUCGUUUAACAAGUCAACAUCAAUUUCUUUUGUUGUAAAAGAGUCAUUGGAAGGUGGCUUUCUUUUCGGAGAAAGUGUUUAUAGCCUUUGACUUCUGCAAUCGGAGAGAUUGAGGUCUGCAGCGUAGAUCCUUCGGGGUUAGAUACAUUUGUGCUAAGCUAUAGCCUUUCAUAGACAACUUGUUGACUAUGAUCAGUCAUGUAGCUUACUCGCUUAUGCUAUUUUACCUACGCUUAGGAUGUUGACGAGACUGUCGAUCUC
RNAcentral lists this ribosomal RNA (779 nucleotides) under uncultured Neocallimastigales. RNAcentral describes it as "partial large subunit ribosomal RNA". It matches the Rfam family "Eukaryotic large subunit ribosomal RNA", at positions 22 to 646 of the family's 3401-position model. Lineage: Eukaryota; Fungi; Neocallimastigomycota; Neocallimastigomycetes; Neocallimastigales. The record is from RNAcentral.